This 253-nucleotide ribosomal RNA is filed under the name uncultured bacterium. RNAcentral describes it as "partial 16S ribosomal RNA". It matches the Rfam family "Bacterial small subunit ribosomal RNA", at positions 524 to 776 of the family's 1533-position model. The record is from RNAcentral.
GACGUAGGGGGCGAGCGUUGUCCGGAUUUAUUGGGCGUAAAGCGCGCGUAGGCGGCCGCGCAAGUCGGAUGUGAAAUCCCCGGGCUCAACCUGGGAACUGCAUCUGUGACUGCAUAGCUAGAGUACGGUAGAGGGGGAUGGAAUUCCGCGUGUAGCAGUGAAAUGCGUAGAUAUGCGGAGGAACACCGAUGGCGAAGGCAAUCCCCUGGACCUGUACUGACGCUCAUGCACGAAAGCGUGGGGAGCAAACAGG